Molecule: transfer RNA, 71 nt
Organism: Loxodonta africana (African savanna elephant)
Lineage: Eukaryota; Metazoa; Chordata; Mammalia; Proboscidea; Elephantidae
Rfam family: tRNA
About the family: Transfer RNA (tRNA) molecules are approximately 80 nucleotides in length. Their secondary structure includes four short double-helical elements and three loops (D, anti-codon, and T loops).
Source: Rfam
GCAGUGGUGGGUCAGUGGUAGAAUUCUUACUUUCCAUACAGGAGACCUGGGUUUGAUUCCUGGCCAGUGCA